GGGUUUGUAUUUUCUGUGCAUCGGUUUCCUAAACCGAAGGUCGCAGGUUCGAAUCCUGCCGGGCGUA
This 67-nucleotide transfer RNA is filed under the name Planctomycetes bacterium B3_Pla. RNAcentral describes it as "tRNA-Ser". It matches the Rfam family "tRNA", at positions 15 to 71 of the family's 71-position model. Rfam says of the family: Transfer RNA (tRNA) molecules are approximately 80 nucleotides in length. The record is from RNAcentral. Lineage: Bacteria; Pseudomonadati; Planctomycetota.